RNAcentral lists this ribosomal RNA (983 nucleotides) under Phaeosphaeriaceae sp. RNAcentral's name for it is "SSU rRNA". It matches the Rfam family "Eukaryotic small subunit ribosomal RNA", at positions 108 to 1101 of the family's 1831-position model. The record is from RNAcentral. Lineage: Eukaryota; Fungi; Ascomycota; Dothideomycetes; Pleosporales; Phaeosphaeriaceae.
AGUUAUCGUUUAUUUGAUAGUACCUUACUACUUGGAUAACCGUGGUAAUUCUAGAGCUAAUACAUGCUAAAAACCCCAACUUCGGGAGGGGUGUAUUUAUUAGAUAAAAAACCAACGCCCUUCGGGGCUUCUUGGUGAUUCAUGAUAACUUUACGGAUCGCAUGGCCUUGCGCCGGCGACGGUUCAUUCAAAUUUCUGCCCUAUCAACUUUCGAUGGUAAGGUAUUGGCUUACCAUGGUUUCAACGGGUAACGGGGAAUUAGGGUUCGAUUCCGGAGAGGGAGCCUGAGAAACGGCUACCACAUCCAAGGAAGGCAGCAGGCGCGCAAAUUACCCAAUCCCGACACGGGGAGGUAGUGACAAUAAAUACUGAUACAGGGCUCUUUUGGGUCUUGUAAUUGGAAUGAGUACAAUUUAAACCUCUUAACGAGGAACAAUUGGAGGGCAAGUCUGGUGCCAGCAGCCGCGGUAAUUCCAGCUCCAAUAGCGUAUAUUAAAGUUGUUGCAGUUAAAAAGCUCGUAGUUGAAACUUGGGUCUGGCUGGCAGGUCCGCCUCACCGCGUGUACUUGUCCGGCCGGGCCUUCCUUCUGGAGAACCUCAUGCCCUUCACUGGGCGUGUUGGGGACCAGGACUUUUACUUUGAAAAAAUUAGAGUGUUCAAAGCAGGCCUUUGCUCGAAUACGUUAGCAUGGAAUAAUAGAAUAGGACGUGCGGUCCUAUUUUGUUGGUUUCUAGGACCGCCGUAAUGAUUAAUAGGGACAGUCGGGGGCAUCAGUAUUCAAUUGUCAGAGGUGAAAUUCUUGGAUUUAUUGAAGACUAACUACUGCGAAAGCAUUUGCCAAGGAUGUUUUCAUUAAUCAGUGAACGAAAGUUAGGGGAUCGAAGACGAUCAGAUACCGUCGUAGUCUUAACCGUAAACUAUGCCGACUAGGGAUCGGGCGAUGUUCUUUUUCUGACUCGCUCGGCACCUUACGAGAAAUCAA